GAAAUGCGAUAAGUAAUGUGAAUUGCAGAAUUCAGUGAAUCAUCGAGUUUUUGAACGCAUCUUGCRCUCCUUCCGAGGAGUAUGCCUGUUUGAGUGUCAUUAAAUUAUCAAAAUUGCUCCAAUUUUGUUGGAGUGGUUUUGGAGUGUCUGGGAGUUUGCAGGUCCAUCGAACCGAAGGGCGAGCUCUCCUGAAAUGAAUUAGUGGGGCUGGAUUGGGCCUAAUUAGUGUGAUAAAAGAGAAAUUGAUCACUAGAAAAAGGGCUCUACCUGGCUUUGCUGAUUGCUUAUACUAGCUUGGCUAGAAAAUAAUGACGAAAUCGACCUCAAAUCAGGUAGGACUACCCGCUGAACUUAA
RNAcentral lists this ribosomal RNA (355 nucleotides) under Amanita pseudoporphyria. Its description in RNAcentral is "eukaryotic LSU rRNA". The stretch from base 1 to 99 matches the Rfam family "5.8S ribosomal RNA", at positions 50 to 154 of the family's 154-position model. Lineage: Eukaryota; Fungi; Basidiomycota; Agaricomycetes; Agaricales; Amanitaceae. The record is from RNAcentral.